This 470-nucleotide ribosomal RNA is filed under the name uncultured bacterium. RNAcentral describes it as "partial 16S ribosomal RNA". It matches the Rfam family "Bacterial small subunit ribosomal RNA", at positions 29 to 507 of the family's 1533-position model. The record is from RNAcentral.
ACGAACGCUGGCCGCUUGCUUAACACAUGCAAGUCGAACGAUGAAGCGGUGCUUGCACCGUGGAUUAGUGGCGAACGGGUGAGUAAUACGUGGGUGACCUACCUUUGACUCUGGGAUAAGCCUGGGAAACUGGGUCUAAUACCGGAUACGACCAAUCCCUGCAUGGGGUGUUGGUGGAAAGCGUUAUGGAGUGGUUUUAGAUGGGCUCACGGCCUAUCAGCUUGUUGGUGAGGUAAUGGCUUACCAAGGCGACGACGGGUAGCCGGCCUGAGAGGGUGACCGGCCACACUGGGACUGAGACACGGCCUAGACUCCUACGGGAGGCAGCAGUGGGGAAUAUUGCACAAUGGGCGCAAGCCUGAUGCAGCGACGCCGCGUGAGGGAUGACGGCCUUCGGGUUGUAAACCUCUGUUAGCAUCGAAGAAGCGAAAGUGACGGUAGGUGCAGAGAAAGCGCCGGCUAACUACGUG